GAUGAACGCUGGCGGCGUGCCUAAUACAUGCAAGUCGAGCGAACGGACGAGAAGCUUGCUUCUCUGAUGUUAGCGGCGGACGGGUGAGUAACACGUGGAUAACCUACCUAUAAGACUGGGAUAACUUCGGGAAACCGGAGCUAAUACCGGAUAAUAUUUUGAACCGCAUGGUUCAAAAGUGAAAGACGGUCUUGCUGUCACUUAUAGAUGGAUCCGCGCUGCAUUAGCUAGUUGGUAAGGUAACGGCUUACCAAGGCAACGAUGCAUAGCCGACCUGAGAGGGGGAGCGCCCCCCCUGAACCGGGAACCGGUCCCGGCCCCCACGGGGAGGAGCAGGAGGGGAUCCUCCCAGAAGGGCCAAAGGCCGGAGGGGGCACCGCCGGGUGGUGAAUAAGGGUCUUGGAAUAGAAAACCUUUUUUAUUGGGGAAAAACAUAUGUGAAAGUAACUUGGCCUUUCUGGACGGUACCUAACAAAAAAGCCCCGGCUAACUCCGUG
RNAcentral lists this ribosomal RNA (497 nucleotides) under uncultured bacterium. RNAcentral describes it as "partial 16S ribosomal RNA". It matches the Rfam family "Bacterial small subunit ribosomal RNA", at positions 28 to 507 of the family's 1533-position model. The record is from RNAcentral.